UUCAAGUGCAAUCAUGAGUUUUCGUGUCUAAUUUUGAUCGUCCGUCUUAUUUAAAUUUUUUUUUAUAAUUAGUAUAUUUGUUGUUAUAAGAUGAUAAAACAUUAAUAGUAUUUUACUCGUGACUUGUGUUUUUAAUUUUUUUUUUAAAAAAAAUAAAUAAGACGGACGAUCAAAGUUGAGCACGGAAAAUUACAGCUGCAGUUAAA
MicroRNA precursor from Oryza sativa Japonica Group (Japanese rice), 206 nucleotides. It matches the Rfam family "MIR812 microRNA precursor family". Lineage: Eukaryota; Viridiplantae; Streptophyta; Magnoliopsida; Poales; Poaceae. The record is from Rfam.